GCCAUUUGCAAGGAGUUGGGGUGGGGGGGGUUUCCCCUGGGACAAACAAAACAAAGCAGAUUUCUCUGCUAGAGUUCCUUUGAACCAGAAAUUACAAUCUUUGCUCCAAGAGACAAGAGGAUUACAAAACAUCUUAAAUGUCCUCCUUUUCUCCUUUUACUGCAAAGCUCCAAUGAACUCGAAACCCAGGGGUAUUCACUGUAACACAACAGAUUAAGCAAAUAGGACUGGAGAGUCAUUUGGGAUCUUUUUCCUUUACACAAGGCCCUCUGUGAGGGUAGGGCUUGUGGGGCGAGCCGCGAAGAAGAGAUCGCCUUUGCUAAGGCAGGCACAGCUUCACUAGGCACAGCAAUUAUUCUAGAAACAUCUGGAGCAUGAAAUUUUAAAAUGCCAGAAUUACAGUGGAUCGAGAUGGAGCCUUGGAUAUUCUCUGCACAGUGCCACAGGAGAGGCCAGGGAGCUUUCCCAGGAGGGUGCCUGCGGCUACUUUUGCAGUCAUAAACAUACCGGCC
Molecule: long non-coding RNA, 512 nt
Filed under: Mustela putorius furo (domestic ferret)
Lineage: Eukaryota; Metazoa; Chordata; Mammalia; Carnivora; Mustelidae
Description: lncRNA (ENSMPUG00000029369.1)
Source: RNAcentral